RNAcentral lists this transfer RNA (114 nucleotides) under Priestia aryabhattai. Its description in RNAcentral is "Bacillus aryabhattai tRNA-OTHER". It matches the Rfam family "transfer-messenger RNA", at positions 260 to 374 of the family's 374-position model. From Rfam's summary of the family: Bacterial tmRNA, also known as 10Sa RNA or SsrA, is named for its dual tRNA and mRNA-like properties. Its role is to liberate the mRNA from a stalled ribosome. To accomplish this part of the tmRNA is used as a reading frame that ends in a translation stop signal. Lineage: Bacteria; Bacillati; Bacillota; Bacilli; Caryophanales; Bacillaceae. The record is from RNAcentral.
GGACGCCUGUUGGUAGGCAGAACAGCUCGCGAAUUAUCAAUAUGCCAACUACACUCGUAGACGCUUAAGUGGCGAUAUUUCUGGACGUGGGUUCGACUCCCACCGUCUCCACCA